GGAGAAACAUCAAGUCCGCCUAGGGGUUGAGUUUCUAUUAACAGCCACUAAGGCCGACUUUUGACUGGAAAAUGGUUCCAUAUUGCUAUUUUCUAUUAAUUUAUGGAAAAGUUGUCCAAAAUAUAUUGGUUGAGCGGAUAUUAUUUUCAAAUUUCAGAAUAAUUACCAUAUAUAUUUAUGCCUUUUUUGAACUGUGGUAAAUCAAUGAAUAUUUACCACAGAAAAUGUAAGGUGCAAUUAAGCAACAAUGCCAAAUAACGGAAUGCAGAAAAUGCUUAUUCAAUGAAACAAGGUUUAUAAAUUUGCAAAACAAUCUUCGUAAAAUAACGAAUAUUUAAUAAUGCUCCUGAUAAAACUGAUCACACUAGAACUUUUAUCAAUAAGCAGAGGAAGCCUGUAAAAAUUAAUAAACCGAAGGCCGCCAGUGCGGCGCAAAAUCUGACUUUUAAAUUUCUUUAGUAUUUUUUUUCACAAGAAAAUGUUUAACUCGCUGAACUGGUAAUUACAGCUAAGUGAUCUGAAUUCUGAAGAAUUUUGCCGCUACAACAAGAACAACAACUAAAUGACUUGAAAAAUAUGUGCGUUAAAUAAUAUUGUAAAUAUAUACAUAAAUUGUUGAAAAAAUUAAUUUUCCGCUCACGGAUAUAAAAUAUUCGCGUCUAAAAAAGAUGAUUAAAAAAAAAAUUCAUUUUUGAGGCCUUCUUAGUUGGGGGACCUAAACUAUACAUUUACCAAAUUUGGAAACUGAUAAAAAAUAAACAAAAAUUACGUUGUAAAUGAUACAAAAUUGCUUACAUGUAAAUUACCAUACUCCUACGAUCAAACUGCUUUUAUCAAAGUAAAUGUUUUAGUGUGCAUCUAAUUGUUUCCAAAGCUAAUAUGUGGCCAGUAUUAUAGUGCUCACCACCAACAAAAGUUAGAAUCGUGAAUUUCUUCAUUUGCAACACUUCUAUUUGCAUUCAUUGAAACAAUUUAAAAAUCUAACCUGAUAAUAUAAGUACUUUAAAUAAAAACAUGAUUUUUUCUG
Bactrocera oleae (olive fruit fly) is the source of this 1027-nucleotide non-coding RNA. The record is from RefSeq and is a predicted model, not a curated record. Lineage: Eukaryota; Metazoa; Arthropoda; Insecta; Diptera; Tephritidae.